Coregonus clupeaformis (lake whitefish) is the source of this 1311-nucleotide long non-coding RNA. RefSeq lists it as uncharacterized. The record is from RefSeq and is a predicted model, not a curated record. The transcript is spliced from 4 exons. Lineage: Eukaryota; Metazoa; Chordata; Actinopteri; Salmoniformes; Salmonidae.
CCCCUGCUAGCACCCAUGAGAACGAUAACACACCCACGAACACAGAACACAAUACCGGGUCGUUACAAUACUGUUGAUAUUCAUGCAUUUGUCAGAAGUCUUUGGAUUUGCCCAUUAUUUUCACCAAUCCAGGGCCUCUUGGAACGGUGCACUCCCUACCCGGGGAAAUAACAGUGUUGAAAGCAAAACAUCUGAUAUUGAAGGAUGUUCGUUUGGCUCGUUUCGAAAUAAUUGGUCUACUUUUGGAAGAUUUCAAAGUAUGCGUUGUCCGUCUCGCAAGGAGCCUUCAACCGCAAGGGGCCAUUGCGACUUCACUCCGUUGUCGACGUCCCCAUUGAAAUGCAUGACAUACAGUGCACUAUAACGAAGUGUUUAUGGGGAAUGUGAACGAGGUUGUAGAAUUUGUCCUGCUUUGCCUUGUCAUCGGAAAUCGAUUGGGUCUAUAUCGCCGAGGCUCCUCAACUGUUUAUAGUCUAUCCGAUUCUCCUUACAGCCAGACAAGCCUGAAUACGCCUGAUCUCAGAAGCCAAUCAGCGUCGAGUAUGGUUAGUACUUGGAUGGGAGACCGCCUGGGAAUACCAGGUUCUGUACGUUUUUUGCUCCAGUAGGGUGCACUUUUUUUUAGCAAUGUUGCGUCAAGUUUUAGGGCUCUAUUCAAUCCGUAUUGCGGAAGAGUAGCUUUACAGCUUGAUUGAAAUGUAAAGGUGUCAUUUCAGAAUGGGGACCACUGUAGCUCUGCUGGUGAUGCUGUUCUGUCUGUCUGGAGCAUGGGCUCAGUGAGAAAGUGGAGGAGUCAGAGAGAUUAAAUCACUCAACAGGGGGCAGAGCAGGUUGAGUGAGUUUCAGAUCGAAAGUAGAGGGACUAACCCACAAGCAGACGACCAGCGGCCAGACCACCACCACCGCUGACAUCUGGACUGAGCUGAAAGAGCUGAUAGACAUGGUGGUGCAAGAGAGUGGAGCUGAGGAACAUGGAGGCCAGACUGGAGAGAGAGAGAGAGUGCAGUGGAGCUGUCAGCCAUGGUGGCCAGAGUGACAGCCAGUGAGAGAAUGGUGGAGGAACUAGAGAGAGAGAGAGAGAGAAUUAUGCAGCACAAGAAUUGGAGCUAUCUGCCAUGGAGGCCAGAAUGACAGCCAGUGAGAGAACGGUUGAUGAACUGGAGAGAGAAUGCAGUUAUCUUCACAUCACCAGUGAGAGGAGUCUACUACUUCAAAUACACUGUCAACGAUUGGAGCAGUUCUCAUUAAAUGAGUGUAUAUUUUUACCAUAAUGACCAGCAACUUAUUUGUAAUGUGGAACCCAUUAACCAU